AGAUAGUCACGGUAUAGAAUAUGUUGAAUUUCAAAUGUCGGAAACAACUAAAAUCAUAAAGGGGAUCAAACAGACGAUAACUUUGAAAAAAAUUCUCGUAUGUAUGCCAAACUCAAUGACAACUGUCCUAUUGAAUCAUUUCAGAAAUACAUGAGUUAAAGGUGUGCAAACAGUACUCAUUUCAUCCUGCAACCGCGGGAAAAAGUAAACAAGGAUGAUAUUGCUUGGUAUACAUCACGGCCUGUUGGAGAAAAAAAUUCUUAAUGACAUGAUGAAACAAAUAUCUACAGAAGC
This 294-nucleotide long non-coding RNA is filed under the name Mytilus galloprovincialis (Mediterranean mussel). The record is from RNAcentral. Lineage: Eukaryota; Metazoa; Mollusca; Bivalvia; Mytilida; Mytilidae.